CAAGGAUUCCCCCAGUAACUGCGAGUGAAAAGGGAAGAGCCCAGCGCCGAAGCCGCCGCCCGACUCAAAGGGCGGAGGGCAAUGUGGCGUUAAGGAGGAGCCUCCUCGACCAGACGUUUCGUUGAUCGGACCGCGGAAGCCCGAGUCCCCCUGACCGGGGCCACAGCCCAUGGCGGGUGCAAGGCCUCUUCGGCUUCGUUCGACGGUUCGGAGGUUGCUGGCUCCUUCCUCAGAGUCGGGUUGCUUGAAAGUGCAGCUCUAAGCGGGUGGUAAACUCCACCUAAGGCUAAAUACAACCGUGAGACCGAUAGCGAACAAGUACCGUGAGGGAAAGUUGCAAAGAACUUUGAAGAGAGAGUUCAAGAGUACGUGAAACCGCUCGGAGGCAAACGGGUGGGCCCUCGAAGGUCGAACGGGGGGAUUCAGCCUGUCGGCGUCGUCGCUCCUCCGUUCUCAGUCGAAAAGCGGGGGACUCGCUCCCCCGCGAAACGGAUCCCUCGACGGGGACCGGGCUGCGGAGCGCGAGCGCGAGCCGGCUCGUGCACUUCCCCCUCAGUAGGACGCCGCGACCGGUCGGGGAGAAAAAAAAGAGGCGGCCAUGAGGCGAGAAGAAGCCGGAAACGGUGGGGCAGGUGUCCGUCUCCGUCUCCGCAAACCCCUCGACCCCUCGGGGCUGGGGCUGCGGGGCGGUCGGAGUUACAGCCCUUUCUCGACCCGUGCACCGCCACCCGACCGACAAACGGUCACGAUUACGCUGACGCGUGCCCGCGACGGCCUCCCCCUUCCUCCGGGAAGGCGGGAACAAAGGCCGGCGCGCUCGCCCUCGUCCCGGGCAGGCAGGACGCGCGAGUAAGAGUCCCCGACGCCCGGAAACGGGCUGGGGAUCCGACGUACGCCGGUCGAAAAAACCAAAAAGGCGGCCGUCGGCUCCGCGUUUGCCGCUGGCCCUCGGGGAAACGGGAUCUGGCGUGGAGGCAUCGCUGGCGGUCGNNNNNNNNNNNNNNNNNNNNNNNNNNNNNNCUAAACCCGACGGCGAAAUGAAAGUGAAGGUCGUCGAUCCCCCGCUCCCCGGGCAACCGGGGAUCACCGGGGGACGCGGACGGCCGAGGCGAGAUCCUGAAGGCGGUCCCGUUCGGCCCUCUCUCUCUCUCUCUCUCUCUCGUUCGCGGGGGGGAAGUGGGUUAGUAAGGGUCGUCGGGCCGCGACUGAAAACAAAAAAGAGAAACCGGGCACGGAAGGCGCGUUCCUUACCGUAAUGGGGCGGCCCGGGGGCGCAUCGCCGGCCCGUCUCGAUCGCUGCCCUGUUCCGUUUUUAAAUCGGCGCCUCGCUGUGGAAGCGGCUUCCCCUCGGCUUCGCGGCCGAGAAGGGGGCUGCCAGACCCUGGCGCCGGCGGCGGGGAGACCAGUCGACGAGGCGGAGCAAGAGCACACACGUUGGGACCCGAAAGAUGGUGAACUAUGCCCGGGCAGGACGAAGCCAGAGGAAACUCUGGUGGAGGUCCGCAGCGAUUCUGACGUGCAAAUCGAUCGUCGGACCUGGGUAUAGGGGCGAAAGACUAAUCGAACCGUCUAGUAGCUGGUUCCCUCCGAAGUUUCCCUCAGGAUAGCUGGCGCUCAAGGGAAACAGUCUCAUCCGGUAAAGCGAAUGAUUAGAGGCAUUGGGGCCGAAACGGCCUCAACCUAUUCUCAAACUUUCAAUGGGUGAGAUGUCCGGCUUGCUCGAACAAGCGUGCCGCCCCCGCGCGUCGCGGCCUUACCCUCUCGAGGGGGGCCGCGCGCGCGUUCUCGGCGGGGCGUGAAGCACGGACGUAGGAUGCGAGUGCCCAGUGGGCCACUUUUGGUAAGCAGAACUGGCGCUGUGGGAUGAACCAAAAGCCGGGUUACGGCGCCCGAUGCGGACGCUCACCAGACCCCAUGAAAGGUGUUGGUUGCUAUAGACAGCAGGACGGUGGCCAUGGAAGUCGGAAUCCGCUAAGGAGUGUGUAACAACUCACCUGCCGAAGCAACUAGCCCUGAAAAUGGAUGGCGCUCCAGCGUCGAGCCUAACCCCGGCCGUCGGAAGGCAGAACGAGAGCCCCCUCCCCAGCUUCGCGGCUGGGAGGGGCUCGGAGUCGAAGCCCCGACGAGUAGGAGGGUCGCGGUGGCGAGCGUUGAAGGGAACGGGCGCGAGCCUGCCUGGAGCCGCCACCGGUGCAGAUCUUGGUGGUAGUAGCAAAUACUCGAGUGAGAACCUUGAGGACUGAAGUGGAGAAGGGUUCCAUGUGAACAGCAGUUGAACAUGGGUCAGUCGGCCCUAAGGAAUAGGGGAAACCCGUUCCGAAAGAGACCGGAAUAAAUCAAAAUGGCUUUUGAAAAAAGACUUUUGACCGGCAAAGACCGAAAGGGAAUCGGGUUAAUAUUCCCGAACCCGGAUGCGGAGAUCGACCCGCGAGGGUCCGAAGCGGCAACGCGUAACGAACUCGGAGAAUGCCGGCGGGGGCCCCGGGAAGAGUUUUCUUUUCUUUGUAAAGGACGGACUCCCUGGAAUCGGCUCGCCCGGAGAGAGGGAUGUUGUUCCUGUAAAGCACCGCGGCUCUUGCGGUGUCCGGAGCGCUCUCGCCGGCCCUUGAAAAUCCGAGGGAGUGAAUUGAGAUUUCCGCACCGGGCCGUACCCAUAUCCGCAGC
RNAcentral lists this ribosomal RNA (2664 nucleotides) under Henia illyrica. RNAcentral describes it as "eukaryotic LSU rRNA". It matches the Rfam family "Eukaryotic large subunit ribosomal RNA", at positions 69 to 1860 of the family's 3401-position model. Lineage: Eukaryota; Metazoa; Arthropoda; Chilopoda; Geophilomorpha; Dignathodontidae. The record is from RNAcentral.